UACGAAGGGGGCUAGCGUUGCUCGGAAUCACUGGGCGUAAAGGGUGCGUAGGCGGGUCUUUAAGCCAGGGGUGAAAUCCUGGAGCUCAACUCCAGAACUGCCUUUGAUACUGAGGGGCUCGAGUCCGGGAGAGGUGAGUGGAACUGCGAGUGUAGAGGUGAAAUUCGUAGAUAUUCGCAAGAACACCAGUGGCGAAGGCGGCUCACUGGCCCGGUACUGACGCUGAGGAGCGAAAGCGUGGGUAGCAAACAGG
Molecule: ribosomal RNA, 253 nt
Filed under: uncultured bacterium
Lineage: Bacteria
Description: partial 16S ribosomal RNA
Rfam family: Bacterial small subunit ribosomal RNA
Source: RNAcentral